Hemicordylus capensis (graceful crag lizard) is the source of this 1926-nucleotide RNA transcript. It is a transcript of the gene named opsin 5, with no coding region annotated. The record is from RefSeq and is a predicted model, not a curated record. Lineage: Eukaryota; Metazoa; Chordata; Lepidosauria; Squamata; Cordylidae. The transcript is spliced from 8 exons.
AUAGUGGGGUUGUUGGGUGUGUGUGUGUUUUUUUAAAGAUUAAUAAUGAAUCCUUACAAAAGGCAUUGGUUACAAACAAAAUACAGUGCCAAGGAUAGUCCUGACUUAAGCACAUGACUCCCAGCAUCCAGGAUUGUUUGUUUCCUCCCCCUUGAAGGUGUCAUUGGUUCUUAAGGAAGCUGCCGGGAGUUCCCAAGGGGGUUGGAUGCUCUAAAAAAUGAGAGAGCUCCAUGUGAUAAAUGCCAAGAUCUCAAGCAGUACAUGAGAGUGAGGAAAGGGAGGGAAGAGGCAGCAAGCAAGUGGAAAAAACAGCAGAGCUCUGAGAGUGAGGAAGCCCUAAAGUCAAUCAUCCUUUCAUAUUUUUUCACUUCCUUCUGCCACACUUCCGAUGCCAAGAACACUUUUCUGGAUGUACUGUAAUUGAAGAAUUGGUUCUGAUCUGGACAUCGUGCAGAGUUUUGGAAGGAAUGUACUACGCAAUGCUCAAAGCUGAGACACUAAGUUCUACAUGAUGAGAAUGGACUCAAACCAAAGUAUCUCAUCCCAAGAUGACUAUCUUCCUCACCAGCAGCAAGAUGAAGAUGCUUUUACAUCAAAACUCUCCAAAGAAGCUGACAUCGUAGCUGGAUUUUAUUUAUUGGUAAUUGGAAUAUUGUCAACUUUAGGCAAUGGAUAUGUUAUUUAUAUGUCUAUACAACGGAAGAAGAAACUGAGGCCUGCUGAGAUAAUGACUGUCAAUUUAGCAGUGUGUGACCUGGGCAUUUCAGUGGUUGGAAAGCCUUUCAGUAUAAUUGCCUUCUUCUCUCAUCGUUGGAUUUUUGGUUGGAGUGGCUGCCGUUGGUAUGGAUGGGCUGGUUUCUUCUUUGGCAUUGGAAGUCUUAUUACCAUGACAGCAGUCAGCUUGGAUAGAUAUUUCAAAAUCUGCCAUUUAUCUUAUGGUACGUGGCUGAAGAGACACCAUGCCUUUAUCUGCUUAGGAAUAAUCUGGUCCUAUGCUACAUUUUGGGCAACAAUUCCAUUUGCUGGCUUGGGGAACUAUGCUCCUGAGCCAUUUGGAACCUCGUGCACUCUGGAUUGGUGGCUGGCUCAAGGUUCAGUGGCUGGACAGGCUUUUAUCCUGAAUAUCCUCUUCUUUUGCCUUCUACUCCCAACAGCAGUGAUCAUGUUUUCCUAUAUUAAAAUAAUAGCAAAGGUCAAGUCGUCCGCCAAAGAAGUAGCUCAUUAUGAUACCAGGAUUCAAAACUCUCAUGCUCUAGAAAUGAAAUUAACAAAGGUGGCAAUGUUGAUCUGUGCAGGAUUUCUAAUUGCGUGGAUCCCAUAUGCUGUGGUCUCAGUGUGGUCAGCAUUUGGAAGACCCGAUUCAGUUCCCAUCAAAGUUUCGGUGAUACCAACCUUGCUUGCAAAAUCAGCAGCUAUGUACAACCCUGUUAUUUACCAGGUCAUUGAUUGCAAAUCUUCCUGUUGUCGACCAGGUGGUCUCAAGCCGUUGCAGAAGAAAAACUCCUUGAAGAAGUCCAGCUGAGUACACUUCUGUUAUCAGAGACUGGUGGAGGAGAAAAGGUGUCUGAUGAGAGAUGCUACAGGCAGGCUGUACACAAUAUCUACAGAUAACAAGUCUGAUGUAACUAAUGAAACUCAACUGGACAGUGUAUGAAACCCUUUCAACAGUCAGUUAACCAACCAGUCAACCAUUUUCUUUCCAAAUGCUUCCUUUGCAAAUGUGUUUAUAAUUGUAGCAAUUUCACUUUGCUUUUUUUUUUACAGUGUCAUGUUUACUGUGCAUUUCCCCCACGUUAACUGGAAGAUGAACACUUUAAAAUAUAUGUCAUUUUGUCUGAGUUUGAAAUGUGUAAACCGGGGCUCUAUUAUAAUUAGGGUUUUUUAAACAACUCAUUAAGGUUUUUAUAUACAUAUAUGGUAAUGAGG